Molecule: ribosomal RNA, 756 nt
Filed under: uncultured bacterium
Lineage: Bacteria
Description: bacterial SSU rRNA
Rfam family: Bacterial small subunit ribosomal RNA
Source: RNAcentral
AGAGUUUGAUCCUGGCUCAGAAUCAACGUUGGCGGCGCGCCUAACACAUGCAAGUCGAACGAGAAAGUGGAGCAAUCCAUGAGUACAGUGGCGUACGGGUGAGUAACACGUGGGUAAUCUGCCUGUUAGUGGGGAAUAACCCUGGGAAACCGGGGCUAAUACCGCAUAAGUUCGUAAGAAGAAAGUCGCAAGACGCUGACAGAGGAGCCCGCGGCCGAUUAGCUAGUUGGCAGGGUAAAAGCCUACCAAGGCUACGAUCGGUAGCCGGCCUGAGAGGGCACACGGCCACACUGGCACUGAAACACGGGCCAGACUCCUACGGGAGGCAGCAGUGGGGAAUCUUGCACAAUGGGGGAAACCCUGAUGCAGCGACGCCGCGUGAGUGAUGAAGCCCUUCGGGGUGUAAAGCUCUUUCGACGGGAACGAUUAUGACGGUACCCGGAGAAGAAGCUGCGGCUAACUACGUGCCAGCAGCCGCGGUAAUACGUAGGCAGCAAACGUUGUUCGGAAUUACUGGGCGUAAAGAGUGUGUAGGCGGUUCCGUGUGAUUGGUGUGAAAUCUCCCGGCUUAACUGGGAGGGUGCGCCGAUAACUGCGGGGCUUGAGUAUUGGAGAGGAGAGCGGAAUUCCUGGUGUAGCGGUGAAAUGCGUAGAUAUCAGGAGGAACACCGGUGGUGUAGACGGCUCUCUGGACAAUCACUGACGCUGAGACACGAAAGCGUGGGGAGCAAACAGGAUUAGAUACCCUGGUAGUCC